CUUACACACAAAGACAAUGAACCCCUUGCACACAGAAAAACACACAAUGCAUUACACACACAAUGCAUUACACAUACACACACACGCAAUGCAACCCUUACACACAAUGCAUCCCUUACACACACAGAAACACACAAUGCACCCCUUAAACACACUCAAAGCACCCCUUACAGACUCACACACUUCAUCCCUUACAUCCCUUACACAUACAAACACAGAUUCACACAAUGCAUUCCUUACACACAAAUCAGGACAUCCCC
Non-coding RNA from Pelobates cultripes (western spadefoot toad), 260 nucleotides. The record is from the annotation of a GenBank genome assembly. NCBI's taxonomy places the organism in Eukaryota, Metazoa, Chordata, Amphibia, Anura, Pelobatidae.